This 435-nucleotide ribosomal RNA is filed under the name uncultured bacterium. RNAcentral describes it as "partial 16S ribosomal RNA". It matches the Rfam family "Bacterial small subunit ribosomal RNA", at positions 29 to 507 of the family's 1533-position model. The record is from RNAcentral.
AACGAACGCUGGCGGCAGGCUUAACACAUGCAAGUCGAACGCGUGCAGCAAUGUACGAGUGGCGCACGGGUGAGUAACGAGUGGAUAUCUGCCUUUUGGUUCGGAAUAACCCCGGGAAACUGGGGCUAAUACCGGAUGGUUCCUACGGGAUAAAGAUUUAUCGCCAAAAGAUGAGUCCGCGUCCGAUUAGCUAGUUGGUGAGGUAAUGGCUCACCAAGGCGACGAUCGGUAGCUGGUCUGAGAGGACGAUCAGCCACACUGGGACUGAGACACGGCCCAGACUCCUACGGGAGGCAGCAGUGGGGAAUAUUGGACAAUGGGGGCAACCCUGAUCCAGCCAUGCCGCGUGAGUGAUGAAGGCCUUCGGGUUGUAAAGCUCUUUUGGCGGGGACGAUGAUGACGGUACCCGCAGAAUAAGCCCCGGCUAACUUCGUG